Molecule: ribosomal RNA, 816 nt
Filed under: Triticum aestivum (bread wheat)
Lineage: Eukaryota; Viridiplantae; Streptophyta; Magnoliopsida; Poales; Poaceae
Description: partial small subunit ribosomal RNA
Source: RNAcentral
AUGGCGAGGGACUGCAGAGCUCCCGCCGCGUCGUCGUUCAUGGCGCUGCUGCUGGUGGCGGCGGCGGUGGUGGUGUCGUUCUUGGGCGGCGGGGCCGAGGCCAGGAAGUCCAGCAACAUCACCGUCGUCGGCUCCGUCUACUGCGACGCCUGCGCCAACAACACCUUCUCCAAGCACAGCUUCUUCCUCAAAGGGGCUCGGGUGCUGAUCCAGUGCAACUUCAAGGUGAACUCGAGCGCGGCGCCGGAGGAGAUCUCGCUGGAGGCGGAGCGCACCACGGACCAGCACGGCGUGUACAAGCUGGACGUGCCCCCUGUCGACGGCUUCGAGUGCCGGGAGGGUCACGAGCUCCGGUCGGCGUGCUGCGCCACGCUCGUCCGGAGCUCCUCAGCCGCCUGCAACGUCCCGGGCCUCCGCGGCUCCACGCAGCACAUCGCGCUCCGGGGCCCCCGCGGCGCGGCCGCCUGCUUCCUCAACCUCAACGCGCUCAACUUCCGCCCCGCCAAGCGGGACCGCACGCUCUGCCACGGUGGCGGCAGCAAUGCGUUCGGGUCGUCGCUCUUCUUCUGGCCGUUCCUGCCGCUCUUCUGGCCGCCGCCGCUCGGGUUCCCGUCGCCCGCCGCGCCGGGCGGGGGCGCCGGAGGUACGGUGUCGUUCCCGUGGCCGUUCCACGUGCCGGAGUGGCUGGUGCCGUUCCUGCGCCCGCCCUUCCUGCCUUUCCCGCUCUACCAGCCGGCGCCGGUGUCAUCGUCGUCGUCGGCGCCGCCCCCGUUCGAACGUUUCCCGCCACCACAACGAACGGCUGCUCGGCCGUAA